AGUUCGGAUUGCAGGCUGCAACCCGCCUGCAUGAAGUUGGAAUCGCUAGUAAUCGCGGAUCAGCAUGCCGCGGUGAAUACGUUCCCGGGCCUUGUACACACCGCCCGUCACACCAUGAGAGUCGGGAACACCCGAAGUCCGUAGCCUAACAGCAAUGGGGGCGCGGCCGAAGGUGGGUUCGAUAAUUGGGGUGAAGUCGUAACAAGGUAAC
Molecule: ribosomal RNA, 211 nt
Filed under: uncultured bacterium
Lineage: Bacteria
Description: partial 16S ribosomal RNA
Rfam family: Bacterial small subunit ribosomal RNA
Source: RNAcentral